CCCCCUCGUACCUUUUGCAUCAUGAAUUAGCUAGAAUUACCCAGGCAAAGAGAACUUUAGUCUGGAGCCCCGAAACUAAAUGAGCUACUUCAAGACAGCCUAUUGUAGGGCAAACCCGUCUCUGUGGCAAAAGAGUGGGAAGAGCUUCAAGUAGCGGUGACAGACCUAUCGAAUUUAGUUAUAGCUGGUUGCCUGGAAAGUGAAUACAAGUUCAGCCUCUCGGCUUCUCCAUAAACCAAGAGAGUUAGUCAAAGGGGGUACAGCCCCUUUGACCAAAGAUACAACUUUUUCAGGUGGGUAUGGAUCAAAAUUUAAUACAAGGAAAGAUCUCUGGGUGGGCCUAAAAGCAGCCAUCCCCACAGAAAGCGUUAAAGCUCAGAUAUCUUAUACUGAUAACAAUCUCCUAACCCCCUAAUUUUACCAGGCCGUCCCAUAAAACUAUGGGAGCGAUUAUGCUAGUAUGAGUAAUAAGAAUGGCCAUUCUCCUUGCACGCGUGUAAUUCGGAGCAGACCCACUACCGAACAUUAACGGCCCCAAGAAAAGAGGGCACUGAGCAGUUACAAGAAAACCUCCCACCGUUAUCCCCACACAGGUGUGCCCAUAAGGAAAGACUUAAAGAAAGAGAAGGAACUCGGCAAACAUGCCUCGCCUGUUUACCAAAAACAUCGCCUCUUGCACGAAUAAGAGGUCCUGCCUGCCCUGUGACUAUAUGUUCAACGGCCGCGGUAUUUUGACCGUGCGAAGGUAGCGUAAUCACUUGUCUCUUAAAUGGGGACCUGUAUGAAUGGCAAGACGAGGGCUUAACUGUCUCCUCUCUCUGGUCAAUGAAAUUGAUCUCCCCGUGCAGAAGCGGGGAUUUACACAUAAGACGAGAAGACCCUGUGGAGCUUUAGACACUAAAAUAGAUCAUGUCCAUCCCCCACUUAUAAGUGGUAAAACUUAAUGACCCCUAUUCUAAUGUCUUCGGUUGGGGCGACCGCGGAGAAAUAAAGAUCCUCCACGCGGAAUGAGAGCACUCUUACACCCAAGAGUUCCCACUCUAAUGUAACAGAACUUCUGACCAAAUGAUCCGGCAAAGCCGAUUAACGAACCAAGUUACCCCAGGGAUAACAGCGCAAUCCUCUCUUAGAGACCAUAUCGACGAGUGGGUUUACGACCUCGAUGU
RNAcentral lists this ribosomal RNA (1166 nucleotides) under Pempheris schomburgkii (glassy sweeper). Its description in RNAcentral is "partial 16S ribosomal RNA". It matches the Rfam family "Bacterial large subunit ribosomal RNA", at positions 594 to 2532 of the family's 2925-position model. The record is from RNAcentral. Lineage: Eukaryota; Metazoa; Chordata; Actinopteri; Acropomatiformes; Pempheridae.